GAUGAACGCUGGCGGCGUGCCUAAUACAUGCAAGUCGAGCGAACAGAUGAGGAGCUUGCUCCUCUGACGUUAGCGGCGGACGGGUGAGUAACACGUGGAUAACCUACCUAUAAGACUGGGAUAACUUCGGGAAACCGGAGCUAAUACCGGAUAAUAUAUUGAACCGCAUGGUUCAAUAGUGAAAGACGGUUUUGCUGUCACUUAUAGAUGGAUCCGCGCCGCAUUAGCUAGUUGGUAAGGUAACGGCUUACCAAGGCGACGAUGCGUAGCCGACCUGAGAGGGUGAUCGGCCACACUGGAACUGAGACACGGUCCAGACUCCUACGGGAGGCAGCAGUAGGGAAUCUUCCGCAAUGGGCGAAAGCCUGACGGAGCAACGCCGCGUGAGUGAUGAAGGUCUUCGGAUCGUAAAACUCUGUUAUUAGGGAAGAACAAAUGUGUAAGUAACUAUGCACGUCUUGAUGGUACCUAAUCAGAAAGCCACGGCUAACUACGUG
Molecule: ribosomal RNA, 497 nt
Filed under: uncultured bacterium
Lineage: Bacteria
Description: partial 16S ribosomal RNA
Rfam family: Bacterial small subunit ribosomal RNA
Source: RNAcentral